UUGUAGUCUCUUCGCCAAUCACUUCCUACAUGGAUACCCCGUGGGAAACUAGGGCUAAUACAUGCACAAAGCCCCGACCGMCAAAAGGGGUGUGUUUAMUAGAUCUGAACCCAAGCCGCUUCGGCGGCCACUGGUGACGUCAUAAUAACCUUCGAAUCGCAUGUCCUCGCGACGGCGAUGCGGCGUAUGAGCUUCUGACCUAUCAAGCUGAUGGUAGUGUAUUGGACUACCAUACUUAUGACGGGUAACGGAGGAUUAGGSUUCGMUCCCGGAGAGGGAGCCUUMGAAACGGCUACCACAUCCACAGGAAGGCAGCAGGCGCGCAAAUUACCCAAUCUCGACACGMGGAGGUAGUGACAAGAAAUAACAAUGCAGGGCUCGAAGAGUCUUGUAAUUGGAAUGAGU
Molecule: ribosomal RNA, 405 nt
Filed under: uncultured eukaryote
Lineage: Eukaryota
Description: bacterial SSU rRNA
Rfam family: Eukaryotic small subunit ribosomal RNA
Source: RNAcentral